AUCCUGGCUCAGGAUGAACGCUGGCGGCGUGCUUAACACAUGCAAGUCGAACGAUGAAGCCCAGCUUGCUGGGUGGAUUAGUGGCGAACGGGUGAGUAACACGUGAGUAACCUGCCCUUAACUCUGGGAUAAGCCUGGGAAACUGGGUCUAAUACCGGAUAGGAGCGCCUACCGCAUGGUGGGUGUUGGAAAGAUUUAUCGGUUUUGGAUGGACUCGCGGCCUAUCAGCUUGUUGGUGAGGUAAUGGCUCACCAAGGCGACGACGGGUAGCCGGCCUGAGAGGGUGACCGGCCACACUGGGACUGAGACACGGCCCAGACUCCUACGGGAGGCAGCAGUGGGGAAUAUUGCACAAUGGGCGCAAGCCUGAUGCAGCGACGCCGCGUGAGGGAUGACGGCCUUCGGGUUGUAAACCUCUUUCAGUAGGGAAGAAGCGAAAGUGACGGUACCUGCAGAAGAAGCACCGGCUAACUACGUGCCAGCAGCCGCGGUAAUACGUAGGGUGCGAGCGUUAUCCGGAAUUAUUGGGCGUAAAGAGCUCGUAGGCGGUUUGUCGCGUCUGUCGUGAAAGUCCGGGGCUUAACCCCGGAUCUGCGGUGGGUACGGGCAGACUAGAGUGCAGUAGGGGAGACUGGAAUUCCUGGUGUAGCGGUGGAAUGCGCAGAUAUCAGGAGGAACACCGAUGGCGAAGGCAGG
RNAcentral lists this ribosomal RNA (696 nucleotides) under Micrococcus luteus. RNAcentral's name for it is "bacterial SSU rRNA". It matches the Rfam family "Bacterial small subunit ribosomal RNA", at positions 16 to 725 of the family's 1533-position model. The record is from RNAcentral. Lineage: Bacteria; Bacillati; Actinomycetota; Actinomycetes; Micrococcales; Micrococcaceae.